Molecule: ribosomal RNA, 253 nt
Filed under: uncultured bacterium
Lineage: Bacteria
Description: partial 16S ribosomal RNA
Rfam family: Bacterial small subunit ribosomal RNA
Source: RNAcentral
UACGGAGGGGGCUAGCGUUGUUCGGAUUUACUGGGCGUAAAGCGCACGUAGGCGGCUUUGUAAGUUAGAGGUGAAAGCCCGGGGCUCAACUCCGGAAUUGCCUUUAAGACUGCAUCGCUAGAAUUGUGGAGAGGUAAGUGGAAUUCCGAGUGUAGAGGUGAAAUUCGUAGAUAUUCGGAAGAACACCAGUGGCGAAGGCGACUUACUGGACACAUAUUGACGCUGAGGUGCGAAAGCGUGGGGAGCAAACAGG